RNAcentral lists this long non-coding RNA (239 nucleotides) under Elaeis guineensis (African oil palm). RNAcentral describes it as "long non-coding RNA (EGUI_LNC034499)". The record is from RNAcentral. Lineage: Eukaryota; Viridiplantae; Streptophyta; Magnoliopsida; Arecales; Arecaceae.
CUUCAUACAAUCAAAGUUACUGUUCACCAACUUUCUCUGACUUAAGCAUCAGAGAGUCUCCGUCGGAUAUCAAUCCGAUCUGUGUGGAUGCUGUUUUGCAGGUGCUCGAUAUCAGUGGCAGACGAUGGAGAGUUGGCCGCAAUAGAUUGACGCGCCAGGUAGGGGGGCAGGAUCAUACAUAAUGGCAAAAAUCAAAACCUAGCAUUCGACUACAAUCAGAUCGAUGAGGUACUCUUUCC